Molecule: signal recognition particle RNA, 269 nt
Filed under: archaeon
Lineage: Archaea
Description: signal recognition particle sRNA
Rfam family: Archaeal signal recognition particle RNA
Source: RNAcentral
UUGGAGGCUAGACUGGGUGGCUUGGCGGCACCUGUAACUGCAAAUCGUCAUAGGCAGAGUUGAUAAGCUUGCGAGGUUUGGUUUGAUAAAUCGAAUCCGUGCCAGAGCGUCGAAGCUCAGCCUUCUGGGAUUUCCUUAUAGUGAACCGGGUCAGGACGGGAACGUAGCAGCCCUAAGGUAUAAUCGAAGUGCUCAGGAGAUUACUGAGUGGAGCAAUGGUUACGGGCUGUUCUGUUUAUUUUAUUUGAAUCAGACAAGCGUGUCUCCAC